UACGAAAGGGGCUAGCGUUUUUCGGAAUUACUGGGCGUAAAGCGCACGUAGGCGGCCUUGUAAGAUGGGGGUGAAAUCCCCGGGCUCAACCCGGGAACUGCCUUCAUGACUGCAAAGCUUGAGGAUGUGAGAGGUUGGCGGAAUUCCGAGUGUAGAGGUGAAAUUCGUAGAUAUUCGGAAGAACACCAGUGGCGAAGGCGGCCAACUGGCACAUUUCUGACGCUGAGGUGCGAAAGCGUGGGGAGCAAACAGG
RNAcentral lists this ribosomal RNA (253 nucleotides) under uncultured bacterium. RNAcentral's name for it is "partial 16S ribosomal RNA". It matches the Rfam family "Bacterial small subunit ribosomal RNA", at positions 524 to 776 of the family's 1533-position model. The record is from RNAcentral.